This 1917-nucleotide ribosomal RNA is filed under the name Triticum aestivum (bread wheat). Its description in RNAcentral is "partial small subunit ribosomal RNA". Lineage: Eukaryota; Viridiplantae; Streptophyta; Magnoliopsida; Poales; Poaceae. The record is from RNAcentral.
AUGGAUCGAGGUUGGAUGAGUAAACCAAGAUCAACUACUGAUUAUAAAGAAGGUGUCGAGCAAUUUCUAUCUUUUGCCUUCCAUGAUGUUCCACUCGGUGAUAAAAUUCUCUGUCCCUGUGUAAAUUGUGGAAAUAAGGCAACGCAGAAUUACGACGAAGUGAAAACCCACCUAAGAUGUGAUGGUAUUCUUCAGGGUUAUACAAAAUGGGUUUGCCAUGGAGAAGAGUAUGAUUCACCGUCAUUUGCAUUUGCUCCCAUGUCAAAUAACAACAACGAUUUUCAUAUUCCGGGUUUUCCAGUGAAUUCUGAUGUAGAAGGCAGUAAUAGAAGAUUGCAUGACAUUUCUGGGCUCUUAAGUGCCAUUUUCCCCAUGGCUGACAGCUUCCAAUCACUAUCAAGCGCAUCUGAUGGGGAACUAGAUGGUGUUCAGUCUGAAUUUGAGAACUUGGAACCUGGUAUGGCUGAGAAUGUCAAUACAACAUCUGCAGAUGAUGAUGCAAUGAGAGAACAAGACAUAUACGCUAGUUUCCUCGAGGAAGCAAACACAGAUUUAUACCCUGGAUGUGCAACAUAUUCGAGGUUGUCAUUUCUUGUCACUUUAUAUCACAUGAAAGUCUUGCAUGGAUGGUCACAGGAAUCAUUCACACAGCUACUUGGUGUAUUAUCGGUUGCAUUUCCUCAGAUAAACCUACCCAAGAAAUAUUAUGAGGUGAAAAAAAUCAUACGCGGAUUAGGGCUGGACUAUGAGAAAAUUCAUGCAUGCCCAAGAGACUGCAUGCUUUUUAGAGGUGAAAGAGCUAACCAGGAGUCUUGCCAUGUGUGUGGUGCCUCUCGUUGGCUUACCAAUGAAAAUGAGAAGAAAGAUUCGGCAACUGAAUCUAAGAAGAAGAAGAAGAAGAAACCAGCCAAGGUGUUGCGAUAUUUCCCAUUGAUUCCAAGGCUCCAAAGGUUAUUUGCAACCAAGAAGACAUCAACUGACAUGCGUUGGCAUGAUGAGGGUCGUACAAAAGAUGGAUUGCUGCGAUGUCCAGCUGAUGGAGAGGCUUGGAAAGAUCUUGAUGCCAGAUAUCCUAAAUUCGCUGAGGAUCCCCGUAAUGCGCGGCUAGGCGUUGGGUCUGAUGGGUUUAAUCCUUUCCGACUCAUGAGUGCAAAACAUAGUACUUGGCCAGUGAUGCUUAUUCCAUACAACCUACCACCUUGGAUCUGCAUGAAGCAAACAUCUCUAAUUUUAUCAAUGAUUAUUCCUGGACCAAGUUCCCCUGGCAAUGAUAUUGAUGUAUAUUUGCAGCCGUUGGUGGAUGAGCUGCAACAUCUUUGGAAGGGUGUGGACACUUUUGAUUCAUGUACCCAGGAGAAAUUUUCUCUUCGAGCUGCACUAUUAUGGACUUUGAACGAUUUUCCAGCAUUAGCUUACCUCUAUGGGUGGAGCACGAGCGGUAAAUAUGCUUGCCCGUCUUGUGGUCCUUUUACAAGAUCAUAUUGGCUAAAGAAGAGUAAGAAAUUUUGUUAUAUGGGUCAUCGCCGAUGGCUAACACAGAAUCAUGUAUUUCGGAGACGAAAGAAGGAGUUUGAUAACACCGAAGAGAUGGAACUUGCACCUAUAUCAAUGAGUGGUAGCUCAGCUUUGAGAAUGUUGCAGGGCAGAGUGUUUGUCUUAGGAAAAAAGGUUGUUGUGGCAAAGAAAGGGAAAGGGAAAAAGAAGGGCAAAGACAGUGAAAAAGGAAUUGAAGGUUCUGAAAAACAGAAGUGUAAAAGAGCGCCUAACAAGAAAUCAGGUAACGUCGCACGUAAACCUGAAAAGAAGCCUGAGGAUUGUUUCAAAAAGAAGUCGAUAUUCUUUGAUUUGGAAUACUGGGAGCACAACAAGUUACGGCACAAUCUAGAUGUAAUGCAUAUUGAGAAAAAUGUCUUCUAA